Melanotaenia boesemani (Boeseman's rainbowfish) is the source of this 693-nucleotide long non-coding RNA. RefSeq lists it as uncharacterized. The transcript has 2 exons. The record is from RefSeq and is a predicted model, not a curated record. NCBI's taxonomy places the organism in Eukaryota, Metazoa, Chordata, Actinopteri, Atheriniformes, Melanotaeniidae.
GUCCUGAGGACCAGGACUGAGAAACACUGAUAAAAUCAGUCAUCUGAAGUCUGAAGAAAAAGUCUGAUUAAAAGUGUUAUAAUCAAUAAGUGAUCAGAUCCUGAGUCUGAACAGAAACCAGUCCAUCUGAAGGCCAGGAUCAGGAGAUGCAGAUCAAUACACUGAUCCACUGGUCCUCAUCAGUGGUGGUCUAGUGGUCACAGACCACUAUGGUAACUCAUCCAGGAACCAGACCGGCUGGAGGGGGACCAGGUCUCGAUGUGGUCCAGUCAGAGUCCAGACCUCAACCUGACUGCAGGAACCAGACUGGCUGGAGGGGGACCAGGUCUCGAUGUGGUCCAGUCAGAGUCCAGACCCCUUCCUGACUGCAGGAACCAGACUGGCUGGAGGGGGUCCAGGUCUUGGUGUGGUUGGAGUAAAGUAGUUUACUUUAUUAGUUUGUUCUUAAUAAGAGUUUAUGUGUGCUAAUGUGUUAGCAUCAUCAAAGAUGUUCCUGUUAACCAGCUUAUUUUUUACAGAGAAGAUCUCUGGUUUCAUCAGAAAUGAUGCGGUUCAGUCACUUUAUGACACUGCUGGUAACAAAGAGCCUAAAGAUCCAGUUUAAACCGGUUCUAUGCUAAGUUUUCCCUGGUUCAACCCACGAGUUAGGAGCCAUUUUAUCCUGAAGGAUUCCAAGUUUAGUGGUUUAACAAC